This 347-nucleotide ribosomal RNA is filed under the name uncultured bacterium. Its description in RNAcentral is "bacterial SSU rRNA". It matches the Rfam family "Bacterial small subunit ribosomal RNA", at positions 451 to 793 of the family's 1533-position model. The record is from RNAcentral.
UGUUAAUAGCAUACUCAUUUGACGUUAGCUGCAGAAGAAGCACCGGCUAACUCCGUGCCAGCAGCCGCGGUAAUACGGAGGGUGCGAGCGUUAAUCGGAAGUUACUGGGCGUAAAGCGCAUGCAGGUGGUUUGUUAAGUCAGAUGUGAAAGCCCGGGGCUCAACCUCGGAAUUGCAUUUGAAACUGGCAAACUAGAGUACUGUAGGAGGGGGUAGAAUUUCAGGUGUAGCGGUGAAAUGCGUAGAGAUCUGAAGGAAUACCGGUGGCGAAGGCGGCCCCCCUGGACAGAUACUGACACUCAGAUGCGAAAGCGUGGGGACGCAAACAGGAUUAGACUACCCUGGUAG